This 588-nucleotide ribosomal RNA is filed under the name uncultured bacterium. RNAcentral's name for it is "partial 16S ribosomal RNA". It matches the Rfam family "Bacterial small subunit ribosomal RNA", at positions 355 to 1376 of the family's 1533-position model. The record is from RNAcentral.
UGGGGAAUUUUGGACAAUGGGCGCAAGCCUGAUCCAGCCAUGCCGCGUGCGGGAAGAAGGCCUUCGGGUUGUAAACCGCUUUUGUCAGGGAAGAAAUCUUCUGAGUUAAUACCUCGGGAGGAUGACGGUACCUGAAGAAUAAGCACCGGCUAACUACGUGCCAGCAGCCGCGGUAAUACGUAGGGUGCAAGCGUUAAUCGGAAUUACUGGGCGUAAAGCGUGCGCAGGCGGUUUUGUAAGACAGAGGUGAAAUCCCCGGGCUCAACCUGGGAACUGCCUUUGUGACUGCAAGGCUUGAGUGCGGCAGAGGGGGAUGGAAUUCCGCGUGUAGCAGUGAAAUGCGUAGAUAUGCGGAGGAACACCGAUGGCGAAGGCAAUCCCCUGGGCCUGCACUGACGCUCAUGCACGAAAGCGUGGGGAGCAAACAGGAUUAGAUAGCCCCUGGUAGUCCACGCCCUAAACGAUGUCAACUGGUUGUUGGGAAGGUUCCUUCUCAGUAACGUAGCUAACGCGUGAAGUUGACCGCCUGGGGAGUACGGCCGCAAGGUUGAAACUUAAAGGAAUUGACGGGGUCAUAGCUGUUUCCUG